UACGUAGGGGGCGAGCGUUGCCCGGAAUGAUUGGGCGUAAAGGGCGCGUAGGCGGCCCGGUAAGUCUGAAGUGAAAGUCCUGAUUUUAAGUUGGGAAUUGCUUUGGAUAUUGUCGGGCUUGAGUGCAGGAGAGGUAAGCGGAAUUCCCUGUGUAGCGGUGAAAUGCGUAGAGAUUGGGAGGAACACCAGUGGCGAAGGCGACUUACUGGACUGUAACUGACACUGAGGCACGAAAGCGUGGGGAGCAAAC
This 250-nucleotide ribosomal RNA is filed under the name uncultured prokaryote. Its description in RNAcentral is "partial 16S ribosomal RNA". It matches the Rfam family "Bacterial small subunit ribosomal RNA", at positions 524 to 773 of the family's 1533-position model. The record is from RNAcentral.